Molecule: non-coding RNA, 61 nt
Organism: Ascaris suum (pig roundworm)
Lineage: Eukaryota; Metazoa; Nematoda; Chromadorea; Rhabditida; Ascarididae
Source: Rfam
CCCUUUGGUUAUCUGGCUGUAUGAGUGAGCCAUAACAUCAUAAAGCUAGGUUACCAAAGCU